UGUGAAUCGCUGUUUCAUUAAUCAAUAUCGUAAUUAAUUAUGCGUCUUGAAGUUAAAGUGAGAAUGAAGUGUACAAUUGUAAAUUAAAAUCUAAUGACAGAAAUGUGUUCGUUUAUGGUUAUGUUUACGCGAUAGUUUCGAAUUUUCGUUAUGGAGAUGUGCUGUUGUAUUAAACCCGUUUGUUUAUUGUUAUUCUUAAAUAGUGAUUUUUGUAAUAAUUAUCGUGUAGUAAACAUGCAGUUCAUAACUUAAAUGCAGCAUGAAAUAGUACUGAAUAGUUAUAUGCUUAGCAUUGGUGUGUGUGCCCUCCAGUGCUGGAUUUAGUGCAGCACAAGGAAGGCAUCGUGGACUCGCUACCUCAGAGCUUAUUGGACGGGCGCCCUGGCAGCUCGCUGCUGCUCACACCUCAGCAGAUUCAGCAGUUACAACAGCAGCUGGGGGUAGGGGA
This is a long non-coding RNA of Macrosteles quadrilineatus (aster leafhopper), 448 nucleotides long. RefSeq lists it as uncharacterized. The transcript has 4 exons. Lineage: Eukaryota; Metazoa; Arthropoda; Insecta; Hemiptera; Cicadellidae. The record is from RefSeq and is a predicted model, not a curated record.